UACGUAGGGGGCGAGCGUUGCCCGAAUUUACUGGGCGUAAAGCGCACGUAGGCGGCUUCGUAAGUCUGGUGUGAAAUCUCACGGCUCAACCGGGAGGCUGCACCAGAUACUGCGGAGCUCGAGGACGGGAGAGGAGAUCGGAAUUCCCGGUGUAGCGGUGAAAUGCAUUGAUAUCGGGAGGAACACCAGUGGCGAAGGCGGAUCUCGGGCCCGGUGCUGACGUUGAGGUGCGAAAGCUGGGGGAGCGAAAGGG
Molecule: ribosomal RNA, 253 nt
Filed under: uncultured bacterium
Lineage: Bacteria
Description: partial 16S ribosomal RNA
Rfam family: Bacterial small subunit ribosomal RNA
Source: RNAcentral